RNAcentral lists this ribosomal RNA (468 nucleotides) under uncultured bacterium. Its description in RNAcentral is "partial 16S ribosomal RNA". It matches the Rfam family "Bacterial small subunit ribosomal RNA", at positions 28 to 507 of the family's 1533-position model. The record is from RNAcentral.
GACGAACGCUGGCGGCGUGCUUAACACAUGCAAAUCGAACGGAAAGGCCCUGCUUUUGUGGGGUGCUCGAGUGGCGAACGGGUGAGUAACACGUGAGUAACCUGCCCUUGACUUUGGGAUAACUUCAGGAAACUGGGGCUAAUACCGGAUAGGAGCUCCUGCUGCAUGGUGGGGGUUGGAAAGUUUCGGCGGUUGGGGAUGGACUCGCGGCUUAUCAGCUUGUUGGUGGGGUAGUGGCUUACCAAGGCUUUGACGGGUAGCCGGCCUGAGAGGGUGACCGGCCACAUUGGGACUGAGAUACGGCCCAGACUCCUACGGGAGGCAGCAGUGGGGAAUAUUGCACAAUGGGCGGAAGCCUGAUGCAGCAACGCCGCGUGCGGGAUGACGGCCUUCGGGUUGUAAACCGCUUUCGCCGGUGACGAAGCGUGAGUGACGGUAAUGGGUAAAGAAGCACCGGCUAACUACGUG